CUGUUUCAGGACCCUGCUCUGGUCAUAGGGACAGUUCUUUAUAAUGUGGCCCAGUUCCAGGCACAGGUGACCCAACCCAAUCAGCCACUGGCAACAUUUUUACAUUAAGCAGCUUGGAUCUGCUGCCAUCCAGACCCCGACGGAUAAUGUCUUCUAUCCACUCAGGUUCCAUCCUAGGUGGCAACCCGCAGACCCAAGCUCUUGUCAACUUCUUCCCACGAUACGUGGGAAGAAACAAAAUCUCUUUGCCCUCUAAGGGCUGGCUUGCAAAUUUGCGAGCCUCCUUAGGGGUGUCAAAUAGCAACCACACCGUUGCAUACUUGACCCCACUGGAAAUAAAUUUUAUGGUUACUCAAUCCUGGUGUUUAUACUAUAUGGUCCUUGAACCCUAUCUGAAAGUUUUGGUUUUCUUCCAGAAUUUUGUUUCAACGAGGAGGUUCUUCCCUCUUUCUCAAAGGCUGUCAUUACUUUUGAGACAGUACUUCUUGAUACACCAAACAUUUCAGCUGUUUACGUUACGCUAGUGCCUGCCGUACGAGCACCAACGAUUUGACCUCUUUGAAAGUCUGGUAGAUCUGUCAUUUUUAAUGAAUUUUAAUUACCUUUUUCUGGUAAUAUCUGAAAAGAAACAGCAAAUUUAGCAAAACAUAUUAAGCAAUACUAAUGAUAAAUAAAUAAAAAAAUGCAAAAAUAAACACGCUUUUGACGGUUUUAUAGAUAUUUCAGAAUUAUGAUGCGUAGCAUCUCUUGUGUGCACCUUACCUCAUGUGUGCAGCAUACAUCAACGUCUCCUUUCAAGCAUCUCUACAAUCUCACUAGACCUACCUUUCAGUGUGCCUACAUUGACUGUGCCAAUUCUGGAAACUGAGAAAGGAAUGUGGGGUGAGGCUUGGGGAGGAGAGAUGUUAUUCAGUGCCUGAAAAGAAGAGGGAGGUUGUAUUCAUUUUUUAGGCAUGCUUCAUCUGUUCUCACUUCCGACCUGUCUAUAGAAAUCCUUUAACAGCAUUGUAAUGGUUAAAAUUUACUCAGGUUAAGAGGGUAAGACAAGGUAGACAAACACUAAAAGUAAUUUCACAGCAUAGACAUGAUACUGCGGUAGAUCACAUGCUAAAGUAGCAUCGAUUAUCGUCAUUGAUAAAUGAUUAGAGACAGUUUUAAAUACCCGGUGCAGCCUUCGAUUUCCAAAAAUGUUUUAAAAAAUGACUUGCCUAUAAUUUUUUUUUUUUUUCUUUCGAACAUCAGUGUUGUAAUAUUUAGCUAUGAAAACAAGUUGCUUGCAGGUAAAGAACUUUGUUGGGUUUAGUUUUGACAGCAAAUUAUUCCAAACAUGUGGACUAAUCACAUUAGAAACGGUGCAUAUUUCUUUAGUUCUCAUGCAUUUCAUGUCUUUGGUAGCUUUUGAAUCAGGACAUACAUUAGAUAAUGAAACUAGGCUGAAACACUAAUGGCAUGGGUGUACUCAGCCAUGACUCUACUUGAUUUUAGCUCAGCUGAUGCUUUUUUUGUUGUGUCAAACAUUGACCAACUUUAACAAACUAGGUUGCUUUAGCCGAUUUUCAACUAUGACAAAAGUUUCCUUUCAUAGGAAGUAGAUUUCAAUUUAUUUUUCUGGGAAUUGUCAUUUUGUCCCUAUUUGAGUAAUGUUCUUUCCCAUGCUUUUAUGCAAAAAUAAAUGUUCAGGUAUAGAACAAUGGCACUACUGUGACUCACAGCUCCUUGCAUUGAACAAAAACGGUAAUGAAAUAACAAUUCUUCAGUGCAGUAUUGAAGAUGACUCGCAUGCAUCAUGGCAGGACUGCUUCGUUUUCUCUUUCAUUGUAUGAUAAGAAUCAUGCCUGUAGUCUGCUGACAUUCUUUAUAGCUUAGCUUGAUGUGCUUUUUACAUACAAGCUGAAAGGGAGGAAAUUUUCUCCCAGACAAAAUCUGGCAGCAAAUGCCUUUCACAUUCUUGUGUACAAGAACAUGUUAAAAAGCAAUGUACACAUCAUUAUUUUAAUCCUCGUUGCUUUGUGUGCUCAUACUAAAUUAAUUUCAUGUAGACAAGUCUCUGCACAUGUUAAGAAAUGUGGUAUUUGCUAUUUUCUAUACAGGAACAUAAAUUCCGGCCUGGUUUCAUGUAGCAAAGAAGCUCAAAACAUACCCAGAUAGUCUGCUUUGUAGUCAUCUGAUGUUAUGUGGAACUCAGUUUGAUGUGUUCUUUAUACACAGUCUACAGGGAGAAAUAUUUCUCCAAGACAAAAUCCAUCAGCAAAUGCAUUUCCAUGUUCCUGUGUACAAGAGCAUAACUGUAGACAGCUCCAUUUCGUUCUGUUUCCAUGGAAACAUUCUAUUAUUGUAGGAGAUAAUGAACAGAGGUUUUAUAAUUCUGUGCAUAACCUCUCUCUCUAUCCAAACAUAAAAUGCAUUUGAAUGACAGUCUGUCACACUUGAGAUAAAUAUGUCAGCUCUAACCAGAUGGCAGAGUAUGUGAUGAGUUUUUUCCUUCUCAGUUUCUCAUCUGCCAUACAACAACCUAAGCUUUGUUGAACCAACUGUUUUAAAUCUGGGCCUGAUGUUUCUCUCCUCCUCAUACUUCUUACAUUAUUUGUCCUCUCUCUUUGGCUUCUGAUGUUUCUUCCCUUCUCUACUCCAAGAGCAACUGAAUCUUGGUUCCACCAAAUCCUCUGACACCAGGAACUCAUAUUGCCUAUCUGCCAUUGUUUACACACACUUCAACCCACUCACUAUAUUUUCUAUCUUUCCUCGCGGAAGCAUUGUCGAUGUUCACUUCCCAGGGAAAUGUCAGCUCUGGAAUUGCACCACCUUCCUUUUCUUGUAUCACAAGACAAGAGCAGGUCUUCUGGUGACAAAAGUUGGAAGUAAUAUCCACCCUGAAUGUGAACAGGGCCUCCAAACACCCGUCCUAUUUGGUAGCAUUCUUCUUUCUUAUGGUGGCUGGCUUGCACUGUUCAUUUUCUCUGCAAAACUUCAUCUUCUUAUACACCACUACUUGUGGCCUUUUGCCAUUGCUCAGUCACUCUAUGCUCUCUGCAUCAAUCUGUGCUCCGGGUGAUUGGUUAUGCCACCCUGCAUCACUGUCCUCCACACCGAUUGGGCACUUGGAGAAGUUUUUUUUCUUUUUUUUAGUUAGAAACAGAAUGAAAACAUAUACGAUAAUAAUUCAAGUUUUUUUUAGUAAAUCUGCUUGCAGUUGCCGAUACUGGAUGAUACAACCAUAUUGUAUUAUCUAAUACAAAAACUGUCAAGGCUACAAGCAGAUAUGGAAGGACAUAUACAUACAUAUAUAUAUAUAUAUAUAUAUAUAUAUAUAUAUAUAUAUAUAUAUAUAUAUAUAUAUAUAUAUAUAUAUAUAUAUACAUAUAUAUAUGUAUAACAAAGUAAACUUGCAAGGUUAUAUAUAUGACAUGUACGUGUGUGUGUAUAUAUAUGACAUGUAUGUGUAAAUGUAUAUACCCAUAUAAGGUAUGCAUAUGCAAUGCCAGAUUUAGAUGAAGUAUAGACCCAAGGUAUUACUCCCCUCCCACCGUCACCACUAGCAAAAGUAUGGAAGAUUAUCUUAAAACUGAAUAAAGCCAAUGAUUAUGGGUGGGUGAAAUUCAACACUUCACAAUUUGUCCUCUGAAUGGCAUAAAAUGUUUAAAUACUGGAGUGAUUGCGAGGGUGGUGGGAACGACUAAAUGUUGAAAUUAAUUUUGUAAAUCUUUCACAACAACUGAACUCUGUAAAAACCUUGUGGAAUAAGCAGGAAUUUUUAAGAAAAUACUUUUAAAAAAUUUUUCCUGUUACACUCUUUAAAGAACUCUUGUGCAGAUACAUUUUAUUUUGUGGGCAGUGUCAGUAAGAUGGUCACAACAAACUGACAUUGAUUGUAUGACACUUUUGAGGUCCUGAUAUGUGUUGGUAAAUGGUUUUAAAAUAAACUACAAUCAAAAACUAAAA
This is a long non-coding RNA of Octopus bimaculoides (California two-spot octopus), 3939 nucleotides long. Lineage: Eukaryota; Metazoa; Mollusca; Cephalopoda; Octopoda; Octopodidae. The record is from RefSeq and is a predicted model, not a curated record.